GGACGCAGUGGUGCAGGGAUGCUGUCUCUAUGGGGUGCAGUGGGGAAGCAUUGGGUGCAAGGAUGCUGGCACCUUGGGGAUGCAAUGGGGAUGCAGUGGUGCAGGAAUGCAGGCACCAUGGGGAUGCAAUGGGGAUGCAUUGCUGCAGGGAUGCAGGCACCAUGGGGAUGAAAUAGGGAUGCAAUGGGGAUGCAUUGCUGCAGGGAUGCAGGCACCAUGGGGAUGCAAUGGGGGUGCAUUGGUGCAGGGAUGCAGGCACCAUGGGGAUGCAAUGGGGAUGUAAUGGGGAUGCAUUGCUGCAGGGAUGCAGGCACCAACAGCGGUGCCUGGCCCUGCUGCUGCUGCAGGACCCCCGAGACCCCCCUCCGUGCUCCCAUUUUUUGCACGCACGGAGCGGCCUCCAUGCAGCUCCCAUGCGCUGCGCUCCCCUCCCUCCUGGAGCAGCACUUUGGGACCCAACCCACAACCGACCCGUGUGGGGGCCAGCAGUGGUGGGAUUUUCCCCGGGGUUGGGGCUGCCACGCUGCUCCCCCUGCAGACCUGGAGGCGCUGCUGGCCGACCUGAGCUCCUUCCUGCUCCUCCUCGACCGGGAGAACCUCAGCGCCGCAGCCCGAGCCAAGAAGCAGUCGGUGGGAGAGCUGCUGCAACGGCUGCAGGGCCCGGCAGCAGCAGCAGCAGCAGAGGAUGCGGAGUACAUGAUGAUGCGCUGCCUCUCGCCUUCCUCGGGGACCCGGCAGUGCCGGGGUGGUGCAGGAGCUGCAGUGAUGGAUGCAAGAGGAGGGAGAGCGUGUGAGCGUCUCCAGGGCAGCACCCAGAGCUCACAGAGAAAGGCACGGGGCUCCUCGCCCCCCCCGCCACCCGAGGGUUCCUACGAAGA
RNAcentral lists this long non-coding RNA (878 nucleotides) under Phasianus colchicus (ring-necked pheasant). RNAcentral's name for it is "lncRNA (ENSPCLG00000008564.1)". The record is from RNAcentral. Lineage: Eukaryota; Metazoa; Chordata; Aves; Galliformes; Phasianidae.